GCGCCCGUAGCUCAGUGGAUAGAGCAGAAUCUUCCGAAGGUUAAGGUCGUACGUUUAAAUCGUAUCGGGCGCUCCA
Molecule: transfer RNA, 76 nt
Filed under: Erysipelotrichaceae bacterium
Lineage: Bacteria; Bacillati; Bacillota; Erysipelotrichia; Erysipelotrichales; Erysipelotrichaceae
Description: tRNA-Arg
Rfam family: tRNA
About the family: Transfer RNA (tRNA) molecules are approximately 80 nucleotides in length.
Source: RNAcentral